RNAcentral lists this transfer RNA (73 nucleotides) under Candidatus Desantisiibacteriota bacterium. RNAcentral describes it as "Candidatus Desantisbacteria bacterium (hot springs metagenome) tRNA-Ala". It matches the Rfam family "tRNA". Rfam says of the family: Transfer RNA (tRNA) molecules are approximately 80 nucleotides in length. Their secondary structure includes four short double-helical elements and three loops (D, anti-codon, and T loops). The record is from RNAcentral. Lineage: Bacteria; Candidatus Desantisiibacteriota.
GGGGCUGUAGCGCAGAGGGAAGCGCGUCUCCUUGGCAUGGAGGAGGUCGGGGGUUCGAUUCCCCCCAGCUCCA